Molecule: transfer RNA, 75 nt
Filed under: Candidatus Woesearchaeota archaeon
Lineage: Archaea; Nanobdellati; Candidatus Woesearchaeota
Description: tRNA-Glu
Rfam family: tRNA
About the family: Transfer RNA (tRNA) molecules are approximately 80 nucleotides in length. Their secondary structure includes four short double-helical elements and three loops (D, anti-codon, and T loops). Further hydrogen bonds mediate the characteristic L-shaped molecular structure. tRNAs have two regions of fundamental functional importance: the anti-codon, which is responsible for specific mRNA codon recognition, and the 3' end, to which the tRNAs corresponding amino acid is attached (by aminoacyl-tRNA synthetases). tRNAs cope with the degeneracy of the genetic code in two manners: having more than one tRNA (with a specific anti-codon) for a particular amino acid; and 'wobble' base-pairing, i.e. permitting non-standard base-pairing at the 3rd anti-codon position.
Source: RNAcentral
GCCUUGUUAGUGUAGUCCGGCCAAUCAUACGGCCCUCUCGAGGCUGUGACCCGGGUUCAAAUCCCGGACGAGGCA